AGGAGCAGCCAUACCACCUGCAGUUUAGCCUCGGUAAUCCAGCUGAAGCUAAGCAGGUUUGAGCCUGGCCAGUACUUGGAUCGGAGACCAGCUGGGUUGCAGCUGGAAGCGGUGUUGG
Molecule: ribosomal RNA, 118 nt
Organism: Paramormyrops kingsleyae
Lineage: Eukaryota; Metazoa; Chordata; Actinopteri; Osteoglossiformes; Mormyridae
Source: Ensembl